This 96-nucleotide transfer RNA is filed under the name Enterobacter cancerogenus. Its description in RNAcentral is "tRNA-Ser(gct)". The record is from RNAcentral. Lineage: Bacteria; Pseudomonadati; Pseudomonadota; Gammaproteobacteria; Enterobacterales; Enterobacteriaceae.
UGGAUGCCUGGAAAGGCAUGAUUGAGCUCCAGCAGGCUGGGCUGGUGAAAAGCAUUGGGGUGUGUAACUUCCAGGUGCACCACCUGCAGCGUCUGA